UACGUAGGGACCAAGCGUUGUUCGGAUUUACUGGGCGUAAAGGGCGCGUAGGCGGCCACGACAAGUCACUUGUGAAAUCUCCGGGCUUAACUCGGAAAGGUCAAGUGAUACUGUCGGGCUAGAGUACAGAAGGGGCAACUGGAAUUCUCGGUGUAGCGGUGAAAUGCGUAGAUAUCGAGAGGAACACCUGCGGCGAAGGCGGGUUGCUGGGCUGAUACUGACGCUGAUGCGCGAAAGCCAGGGGAGCGAACGGG
Molecule: ribosomal RNA, 254 nt
Filed under: uncultured bacterium
Lineage: Bacteria
Description: partial 16S ribosomal RNA
Rfam family: Bacterial small subunit ribosomal RNA
Source: RNAcentral